ACUCCUACGGGAGGCAGCAGUGGGGAAUUUUGGACAAUGGGCGAAAGCCUGAUCCAGCAAUGCCGCGUGUGUGGAGAAGGCCUUCGGGUUGUAAAGCACUUUUGUCCGGAAAGAAAUCCUUGGCUCUAAUACAGUCGGGGGAUGACGGUACCGGAAGAAUAAGCACCGGCUAACUACGUGCCAGCAGCCGCGGUAAUACGUAGGGUGCGAGCGUUAAUCGGAAUUACUGGGCGUAAAGCGUGCGCAGGCGGUUUGCUAAGACCGAUGUGAAAUCCCCGGGCUCAACCUGGGAACUGCAUUGGUGACUGGCAGGCUAGAGUAUGGCAGAGGGGGUUAGAAUUCCACGUGUAGCAGUGAAAUGCGUAGAGAUGUGGAGGAAUACCGAUGGCGAAGGCAGCCCCCUGGGCCAAUACUGACGCUCAUGCACGAAAGCGUGGGGAGCAAACAGGAUUAGAAACCCCUGUAGUCCCAUGA
Molecule: ribosomal RNA, 474 nt
Filed under: uncultured organism
Description: partial 16S ribosomal RNA
Rfam family: Bacterial small subunit ribosomal RNA
Source: RNAcentral